AUGGCAUCGCCGCUGAACCGGUCGCCGGUGGAUCCAUGGUGCGCGCGCGGUCCCGUCGUGGGCGAACAGAGGUCGGCGUCACGCCGGAAUCAAAUCUCUGGGUGGGCAGACAGUACGUACGGUGCGCUACCCGACGUCGUGCUCGGUGCCCCCCCGUCGAUGGACCACUCCACUGUCUCCUACCGCCGGUCUACCAUACACUACUGUCUACGCGAUGACGGUGAAAACCGCGGGAAUAACAGCGACGAGUCGACGUCCACGUCGUCGUUCCAGCUCGCAUGUUCCAAUUCCAACCGAGCGCCAGCCAGCCGUGCGUGCGUGCGUUCACGCGGUUAG
RNAcentral lists this ribosomal RNA (336 nucleotides) under Triticum aestivum (bread wheat). RNAcentral describes it as "partial small subunit ribosomal RNA". Lineage: Eukaryota; Viridiplantae; Streptophyta; Magnoliopsida; Poales; Poaceae. The record is from RNAcentral.